UCCCUGGUGGCUCAGUGGUAAAGCAUCUGCCUGCAAUGUAGGAGACCUGGGUUCAAUCCCUGAGUUGGGAA
RNAcentral lists this transfer RNA (71 nucleotides) under Bos taurus (domestic cattle). It matches the Rfam family "tRNA". Rfam says of the family: Transfer RNA (tRNA) molecules are approximately 80 nucleotides in length. Their secondary structure includes four short double-helical elements and three loops (D, anti-codon, and T loops). The record is from Rfam by way of RNAcentral. RNAcentral also lists the same sequence under 5 other names. Lineage: Eukaryota; Metazoa; Chordata; Mammalia; Artiodactyla; Bovidae.